This 702-nucleotide ribosomal RNA is filed under the name Clostridium botulinum C. Its description in RNAcentral is "bacterial SSU rRNA". It matches the Rfam family "Bacterial small subunit ribosomal RNA", at positions 1 to 716 of the family's 1533-position model. The record is from RNAcentral. Lineage: Bacteria; Bacillati; Bacillota; Clostridia; Eubacteriales; Clostridiaceae.
UUUAAAUUGAGAGUUUGAUCCUGGCUCUGGACGAACGCUGGCGGCGUGCCUAACACAUGCAAGUCGAGCGAUGAAGCUUCCUUCGGGGAGUGGAUUAGCGGCGGACGGGUGAGUAACACGUGGGUAACCUGCCUCAAAGAGGGGGAUAGCCUCCCGAAAGGGAGAUUAAUACCGCAUAACAUUAUUUUAUGGCAUCAUAGAAUAAUCAAAGGAGCAAUCCGCUUUGAGAUGGACCCGCGGCGCAUUAGCUAGUUGGUGAGGUAAGGGCUCACCAAGGCGACGAUGCGUAGCCGACCUGAGAGGGUGAUCGGCCACAUUGGAACUGAGACACGGUCCAGACUCCUACGGGAGGCAGCAGUGGGGAAUAUUGCGCAAUGGGGGGAACCCUGACGCAGCAACGCCGCGUGAGUGAUGAAGGUUUUCGGAUCGUAAAACUCUGUCUUUAGGGACGAUAAUGACGGUACCUAAGGAGGAAGCCACGGCUAACUACGUGCCAGCAGCCGCGGUAAUACGUAGGUGGCAAGCGUUGUCCGGAUUUACUGGGCGUAAAGAGUAUGUAGGUGGGUGCUUAAGUCAGAUGUGAAAUUCCCGGGCUUAACCUGGGCGCUGCAUUUGAAACUGGGCAUCUAGAGUGCAGGAGAGGAAAGUGGAAUUCCUAGUGUAGCGGUGAAAUGCGUAGAGAUUAGGAAGAACACCAGUGGC